This 752-nucleotide ribosomal RNA is filed under the name uncultured Oxalobacteraceae bacterium. RNAcentral describes it as "bacterial SSU rRNA". It matches the Rfam family "Bacterial small subunit ribosomal RNA", at positions 28 to 776 of the family's 1533-position model. The record is from RNAcentral. Lineage: Bacteria; Pseudomonadati; Pseudomonadota; Betaproteobacteria; Burkholderiales; Oxalobacteraceae.
AUUGAACGCCGGCGGCAUGCUUUACACAUGCAAGUCGAACGGCAGCGCGGGGCAACCCGGGCGGCGAGUGGCGAACGGGUGAGUAAUAUAUCGGAACGUACCCAGAAGUGGGGGAUAACGUAGCGAAAGUUACGCUAAUACCGCAUACGAUCUACGGAUGAAAGUGGGGGACCUUCGGGCCUCAUGCUUGUGGAGCGGCCGAUAUCUGAUUAGCUAGUUGGUGAGGUAAAGGCUCACCAAGGCGACGAUCAGUAGCUGGUCUGAGAGGACGACCAGCCACACUGGGACUGAGACACGGCCCAGACUCCUACGGGAGGCAGCAGUGGGGAAUUUUGGACAAUGGGCGCAAGCCUGAUCCAGCAAUGCCGCGUGAGUGAAGAAGGCCUUCGGGUUGUAAAGCUCUUUUGUCAGGGAAGAAACGGUAGGGGCUAAUAUCCUUUGCUAAUGACGGUACCUGAAGAAUAAGCACCGGCUAACUACGUGCCAGCAGCCGCGGUAAUACGUAGGGUGCAAGCGUUAAUCGGAAUUACUGGGCGUAAAGCGUGCGCAGGCGGUUUUGUAAGUCUGUCGUGAAAGCCCCGGGCUCAACCUGGGAAUUGCGAUGGAGACUGCAAGGCUUGAAUCUGGCAGAGGGGGGUAGAAUUCCACGUGUAGCAGUGAAAUGCGUAGAGAUGUGGAGGAACACCGAUGGCGAAGGCAGCCCCCUGGGUCAAGAUUGACGCUCAUGCACGAAAGCGUGGGGAGCAAACAGG